AGGAUGAACGCUGGCGGCGUGCUUAACACAUGCAAGUCGAACGGUGAAGCAGGAGCUUGCUCUUGCGGAUCAGUGGCGAACGGGUGAGUAACACGUGAGUAACCUGCCCUUGACUCUGGGAUAAGCGUUGGAAACGACGUCUAAUACCGGAUACGACCUCCGAAGGCAUCUUCUGGAGGUGGAAAGAACUUCGGUCAAGGAUGGACUCGCGGCCUAUCAGCUAGUUGGUGAGGUAAUGGCCCACCAAGGCGACGACGGGUAGCCGGCCUGAGAGGGUGACCGGCCACACUGGGACUGAGACACGGCCCAGACUCCUACGGGAGGCAGCAGUGGGGAAUAUUGCACAAUGGGCGCAAGCCUGAUGCAGCAACGCCGCGUGAGGGACGACGGCCUUCGGGUUGUAAACCUCUUUAGUAGGGAAGAAGCGAAGUGACGGUACCUGCAGAAAAGCACCGGCUAACUACGUGCCAGCAGCCGCGGU
RNAcentral lists this ribosomal RNA (481 nucleotides) under uncultured bacterium. RNAcentral describes it as "SSU rRNA". It matches the Rfam family "Bacterial small subunit ribosomal RNA", at positions 26 to 521 of the family's 1533-position model. The record is from RNAcentral.